CUGGUUUGGUGUUAAGUGCUCUGUUCUAGAGAAACUUACUGAGUCAGAAUUGUUCGUAGUAGUAGUUACAGGAACCAGACGUCUGAAGAGUUUAAUGUCUCUAAAAGCUACACUACAGAAAAAGAUUACAUUAAAUUGAUAAUAAAUAUGUUGCCUGAUGCCUGAGAGUUUUACAAUAGUUUUGGAAUAAGCAGUUUGGACCAGUGAAAUAUUCCCCUUUAAUGGUUCUGUUUCACUUGUUUUAAAGGUUUUGAUAAAAAAAAGACUGAUAAACACUGAAGGAAGCAGGACACUGCCUGCUCAGCUAUAAGUAUCACGUUCAUAUGUCUAUUCUUUGAGCAUUUGAAUCAAGACUAUGUUCUGUGUGUAACUGCUCCCUUACUGCAAGAAUAAAAGACUUCAAAGACAACCAGUGAUCCCAGGCUGUUUUUAAACAGAGAAUCUUUCUUACAACUUGGGCCUUUGAGCCGGAUCCCAACAUCUGACUUGAACUGCGUGGGGGAGUCUGAGACUCCUUUACAAAAAGACCUUUGGCACGCUCUGAAGAGAGCAGUUGUGCUUUAAAAAGAGGCCAGGAUUCUCUGGGCAGUGGAGGAGUGACGGGAUCACCCAUAGAUGCUGGGACACUGGAAAUUUGAAGUUGCAGCCGCUCUCAUCACCAUUUGUGGAUGUUGCUUCAUCCCAUGUGCAAGAGGACUCGCCCUGUGCCUCAUCGACUCUGCAGUCACCAAAGUCAUGAUGACCGAGGCACUCAACCCAGACUAUUCAGGCUACACAGCCAUGCUGACUGAACAAGACUCUCGAGAUUCUCGACUGUAACCAAACGGACAGUGAACACACAAGUGAAUGAUUUAUGAAGCAAUUUAUGAAAAUCUAACGAAGAGUAAACUGUAGAAAGUAAUCCAGAUGUACACUGUCAGUUCAAUUGCAUUAAUCAUAUAUCAAUUUGAUUGCAUUAAUCACUUGUUGGGUCAGUUGCAUUAAUGAUUUAACUGACCUUGCUUAAAACCCCUCACAUAUAGUAUAAACAGGAGGGAAAUGCUAGAAAAACUAAACUUUAUACUCUGUGCCGUAACUGAAGACUAUUACAUUCUAGGCUGUGAUGUGAGCAUUGCAAGGUCACAUAAGAAAAAGAGAUGUGUUAGCAUUAAUCGUGUAAGGAUAAAAAUAUGUAUAAGCAUUAAAAUACUCGUAGGGGUUGUGCGCACGAAGCUAAAAAGGAGCUACACCAGUUCUCAGUAAACCGGAUUCCUCACUUCUCAAAUUAACUGCCGAGAACUGGUGCGGUCAACACUGAAGGAAGAAGGACACUGCCUGCUCUGCUAUAAGUAUCACGUUCGUAUGUCUAUUUUUUGAGAAUUUACAUCCAGACUAUGUUCUGAGUGUAACUGCUCCCUUGCUGCAAGAAUAAAAGACUUCAAAUACAA
This is a long non-coding RNA of Pygocentrus nattereri (red-bellied piranha), 1427 nucleotides long. RefSeq lists it as uncharacterized. The record is from RefSeq and is a predicted model, not a curated record. The transcript has 2 exons. NCBI's taxonomy places the organism in Eukaryota, Metazoa, Chordata, Actinopteri, Characiformes, Serrasalmidae.